AGCACUUGUGUGUGUUUUUGUUCAGCUAGUGGACAAAGGCAGCUUGGACAGGUGCUAAAUUAAAUCCUCUUUUGCAACCCAGAACUCAUUGUUCAGUAUGAGUUUUGAUACAUUCAAGAAGGAAUAUA
Molecule: small nucleolar RNA, 128 nt
Organism: Meriones unguiculatus (Mongolian gerbil)
Lineage: Eukaryota; Metazoa; Chordata; Mammalia; Rodentia; Muridae
Source: Ensembl